AGAGUUUGAUCCUGGCUCAGGAUGAACGCCGGCGGUGUGCCUAAUACAUGCAAGUCGUACGCACUGGCCCAACUGAUUGAUGGUGCUUGCACCUGAUUGACGAUGGAUCACCAGUGAGUGGCGGACGGGUGAGUAACACGUAGGUAACCUGCCUCGGAGCGGGGGAUAACAUUUGGAAACAGAUGCUAAUACCGCAUAACAACAAAAGCCACAUGGCUUUUGUUUGAAAGAUGGCUUUGGCUAUCACUCUGGGAUGGACCUGCGGUGCAUUAGCUAGUUGGUAAGGUAACGGCUUACCAAGGCAAUGAUGCAUAGCCGAGUUGAGAGACUGAUCGGCCACAAUGGAACUGAGACACGGUCCAUACUCCUACGGGAGGCAGCAGUAGGGAAUCUUCCACAAUGGGCGCAAGCCUGAUGGAGCAACACCGCGUGAGUGAAGAAGGGUUUCGGCUCGUAAAGCUCUGUUGUUGGAGAAGAACGUGCGUGAGAGUAACUGUUCACGCAGUGACGGUAUCCAACCAGAAAGUCACGGCUAACUACGUGCCAGCAGCCGCGGUAAUACGUAGGUGGCAAGCGUUAUCCGGAUUUAUUGGGCGUAAAGCGAGCGCAGGUGGUUGCUUAGGUCUGAUGUGAAAGCCUUCGGCUUAACCGAAGAAGUGCAUCGGAAACCGGGCGACUUGAGUGCAGAAGAGGACAGUGGAACUCCAUGUGUAGCGGUGGAAUGCGUAGAUAUAUGGAAGAACACCAGUGGCGAAGGCGGCUGUCUGGUCUGCAACUGACGCUGAGGCUCGAAAGCAUGGGUAGCGAACAGGAUUAGAUACCCUGGUAGUCCAUGCCGUAAACGAUGAGUGCUAGGUGUUGGAGGGGUUUCCGCCCUUCAGUGCCGGAGCUAACGCAUUAAGCACUCCGCCUGGGGAGUACGACCGCAAGGUUGAAACUCAAAGGAAUUGACGGGGGCCCGCACAAGCGGUGGAGCAUGUGGUUUAAUUCGAAGCUACGCGAAGAACCUUACCAGGUCUUGACAUCUUGCGCUAACCUUAGAGAUAAGGCGUUCCCUUCGGGGACGCAAUGACAGGUGGUGCAUGGUCGUCGUCAGCUCGUGUCGUGAGAUGUUGGGUUAAGUCCCGCAACGAGCGCAACCAUUGUUACUAGUUGCCAGCAUUAAGUUGGGCACUCUAGUGAGACUGCCGGUGACAAACCGGAGGAAGGUGGGGACGACGUCAGAUCAUCAUGCCCCUUAUGACCUGGGCUACACACGUGCUACAAUGGACGGUACAACGAGUCGCAAGCUCGCGAGAGUAAGCUAAUCUCUUAAAGCCGUUCUCAGUUCGGACUGUAGGCUGCAACUCGCCUACACGAAGUCGGAAUCGCUAGUAAUCGCGGAUCAGCAUGCCGCGGUGAAUACGUUCCCGGGCCUUGCACACACCGCCCGUCA
This 1435-nucleotide ribosomal RNA is filed under the name uncultured bacterium. RNAcentral describes it as "bacterial SSU rRNA". It matches the Rfam family "Bacterial small subunit ribosomal RNA". The record is from RNAcentral.